Molecule: ribosomal RNA, 500 nt
Filed under: uncultured bacterium
Lineage: Bacteria
Description: bacterial SSU rRNA
Rfam family: Bacterial small subunit ribosomal RNA
Source: RNAcentral
GCCUAGGAAUCUGCCUGGUAGUGGGGGAUAACGUCCGGAAACGGACGCUAAUACCGCAUACGUCCUACGGGAGAAAGCAGGGGACCUUCGGGCCUUGCGCUAUCAGAUGAGCCUAGGUCGGAUUAGCUAGUUGGUGGGGUAAUGGCUCACCAAGGCGACGAUCCGUAACUGGUCUGAGAGGAUGAUCAGUCACACUGGAACUGAGACACGGUCCAGACUCCUACGGGAGGCAGCAGUGGGGAAUAUUGGACAAUGGGCGAAAGCCUGAUCCAGCCAUGCCGCGUGUGUGAAGAAGGUCUUCGGAUUGUAAAGCACUUUAAGUUGGGAGGAAGGGCAGUAAAUUAAUACUUUGCUGUUUUGACGUUACCGACAGAAUAAGCACCGGCUAACUCUGUGCCAGCAGCCGCGGUAAUACAGAGGGUGCAAGCGUUAAUCGGAAUUACUGGGCGUAAAGCGCGCGUAGGUGGUUCGUUAAGUUGGAUGUGAAAUCCCCCGGGCUC